Molecule: ribosomal RNA, 311 nt
Filed under: Escherichia coli
Lineage: Bacteria; Pseudomonadati; Pseudomonadota; Gammaproteobacteria; Enterobacterales; Enterobacteriaceae
Description: partial 16S ribosomal RNA
Rfam family: Bacterial small subunit ribosomal RNA
Source: RNAcentral
GCGCAUACAAAGAGAAGCGAACUCGCGAGAGCAAGCGGACCUCAUAAAGUGCGUCGUAGUCCGGAUUGGAGUCUGCAACUCGACUCCAUGAAGUCGGAAUCGCUAGUAAUCGUGGAUCAGAAUGCCACGGUGAAUACGUUCCCGGGCCUUGUACACACCGCCCGUCACACCAUGGGAGUGGGUUGCAAAAGAAGUAGGUAGCUUAACCUUCGGGAGGGCGCUUACCACUUUGUGAUUCAUGACUGGGGUGAAGUCGUAACAAGGUAACCGUAGGGGAACCUGCGGUUGGAUCACCUCCUUACCUUAAAGAA